RNAcentral lists this ribosomal RNA (206 nucleotides) under uncultured bacterium. Its description in RNAcentral is "partial 16S ribosomal RNA". It matches the Rfam family "Bacterial small subunit ribosomal RNA", at positions 568 to 774 of the family's 1533-position model. The record is from RNAcentral.
AGCGCAGGCGGGAAGACAAGUUGGAAGUGAAAUCUAUGGGCUCAACCCAUAAACUGCUUUCAAAACUGUUUUUCUUGAGUAGUGCAGAGGUAGAUGGAAUUCCCGGUGUAGCGGUGGAAUGCGUAGAUAUCGGGAGGAACACCAGUGGCGAAGGCGGUCUACUGGGCACCAACUGACGCUGAGGCUCGAAAGCAUGGGUGCAAACA